CGUCAUUGCUGCGGUUAAAAAGCUCGUAGUUGGAUCUGAGUCGCAUGCAGUGAUUCGCCAUUGGCGUUAAUCGCUGUUGCGACUAUUUGCUGGUUUUCUACUAAAGUUUCGGCUUUUUUAGUGGCUAGCGAGUUUACUUUGAAUAAAUUAGAGUGCUCAGAACAAGCGUUUGCUUGAAUGCUCGAUCAUGGAAUAAUAAAAGAGGACUUCGGUUCUAUUUAUUGGUUCAGGAACUGAAAUAAUGGUUAAGAGGGACAAUUCGGGGGCAUUCGUAUCCCUGCGCGAGAGGUGAAAUUCGUGGACCGCAGGGGGACGCCCUAAAGCGAAAGCAUUUGCCAAG
Molecule: ribosomal RNA, 340 nt
Filed under: Necator americanus (New World hookworm)
Lineage: Eukaryota; Metazoa; Nematoda; Chromadorea; Rhabditida; Ancylostomatidae
Description: SSU rRNA
Rfam family: Eukaryotic small subunit ribosomal RNA
Source: RNAcentral